RNAcentral lists this long non-coding RNA (1936 nucleotides) under Apis florea (little honeybee). RNAcentral describes it as "uncharacterized LOC116415605". Lineage: Eukaryota; Metazoa; Arthropoda; Insecta; Hymenoptera; Apidae. The record is from RNAcentral.
AGAAUAGAGCGUAGUUAUUUCACGGAACUAUUAUAUUUUUCGAAACUUUUAAACGUUAUAACCUCUCUAACCAUGCGAUUAUAUAUUCGCGUAUAAACAUCGAAAACUUCAAGUCGAAUGUUAAUACAACAAGGACGACAACUCGUGCCCCGACAGUCUUGCCAACGUCUAAACGCUGUCUGAUCCCUCGGUUGGGAAACAAGUUCAAGGAGACUCGUCCAAUUGACACAUCGGGAGGCACGUUUCCAGAUCAAGUUCAUCGAAUCGGAAGAACGAUAUUAUUAACGACUCGAUUCUCGUUUUUUCUCGUAGGAGAAGCCGCGUACAGAUUACCAAGUAAUCCACGGCCUCAUUACCGACGCCAAUUAUCGAAUGGGACGAAUCGAUCGGUGGCAAACGAUCCCCGCCGACUCUCAAUCAACUUUCCGAGGCGAAGGACGCUGAUCGACGACGAGCAGCCGGAUGACGAUCGACUGCAAUUUCGAUGAUGAUACGGAAUUAUCCAUCCGAGAGAAGGGAGAUAGCAGCCGGGCCCCGCGAACAACGAAGUACACACACACCCCACCACCUCUUGGUCGAUACGUGUAUCGGGCCGGUGUACGGAGAGGACUUGUGGAGAGGCUUUAUUACACGUAGGACGGAGUGGAAGGACGAUCACGGAUCCGCGGGCGAACUUCGUUACGGACCUAUGUGAUUUUCCAUGCAAAUUGAGUUGUUCGCCUGUCAUUAUGCUAAUAAAAGUAAUGACGCGUCGCGUAUGUACCGAGUAAUGCAGCUGCUGUAAUGAACCACGGUGUAGUAUAUCGGCUUUGGAGGUCUUCGCCACCGUUUCGAGAAGCGUGACACCGCGACGUUUUCCACGCUUUUGUGGAGCACAACACCUGGCUGAACCGAGAAAAUAUCGUUAAAGAGAGUUGGUUAGAUUUGUACGAGUAACCUUUGGUAACCAGGUUAUUCGUUUAAAUUAAAUGAAAUGCGAUCUUCUCUUCUUCGUUGCAUUGUUUUGAUACUCGUCUCUCGUUUUCAACCAUUAAUCUCAUUCGCGCCGUGAUCUAUAUAUUGUGUAACGUAUAUUACCAUACCUUUUAUUAGCCCGAGUGUGUAUAUUCAUUCUCAUAACCUAGAGAAAUAACCUAACCUCAAAUAUGAUUUUCUCUUUAUUAUUAUCAUCUUGUUUCGACCCGUUAAAGAUCGAGUGUAUUUCUAAUUAAGUAAAAUAAAUAAAUAAAUAAGUAAUUAUCACGUCAAAUAUCGCACGUUAUGUAAACACGUUGUUUAUACAACAAGAGGCGCACUAUUAAUUACAAUUUCAUUGUACACCAUCGAUUGUUUUUGUAUACUUGCGGUGCACGUGCACAUGCCUUGACCAUCUUAUCUAAUGAUAAAUCGUUCACAAGGGAAGUGGAUAAAUGACAUCUGUCCGGUUAAUUAGUUCGAGAAAUGUCGCGGCGCGGUGUAUGCGUGAGGAAAGAGAAUGAAGGGUAUGGAAGUUUGUUCUGGAAAUCUGAUCGAGAAACAUGUGCAUAUUUUUUCUUUUUUAUUUAUUAUCUUUGUUUUUAAUAACGGGUUACGAUCAUAUCGAUACAGAAAGUAAAUAUCAAGGGGAAUCGGGGGAAUUUUUCGAGAGAAUAAUAGGGUGAGAUGAUGGUAAUUAUCGCGAAUGAUGUUUAUAAUUAUUUCGUUAACCCUUUGCAUUAACGCAUUUGCAUCGUCGUUACGUGAACACGCGAGAAAUUUAACUUUAUACAUUACAUAAAUAUCUUUUUUCUUGCGUUUACGAUCGAAUUUACAAUUACUCGUGGAAAUGAUAAUUAUUUUUCUGAAAUUCACGAGACUGUGAAAGUUAAUUCAGAUAUAUGUAUCAUUACUUACUUUUUACUUUGUCAUUAUCUUUUACGAAUUUUUUUUUUUUUCUUUUCAGUGUAAAGAAUUAAAA